Molecule: ribosomal RNA, 237 nt
Filed under: uncultured bacterium
Lineage: Bacteria
Description: partial 16S ribosomal RNA
Rfam family: Bacterial small subunit ribosomal RNA
Source: RNAcentral
AUUGAACGCUGGCGGCAUGCCUUACACAUGCAAGUCGAGCGCGAAAGGGGGCAACCCCGAGUAGAGCGGCGGACGGGUGAGUAACACAUCGGAACGUGCCCAGUAGUGGGGGACAACCUCGAGAAAUCGAGGCUAAUACCGCAUACGACCCACGGGUGAAAGCGGGGGACCGCAAGGCCUCGCGCUAUUGGAGCGGCCGAUGUCCGAUUAGCUAGUUGGCGGGGUAAGAGCCCCACC